Long non-coding RNA from Nannospalax galili (Upper Galilee mountains blind mole rat), 604 nucleotides. RefSeq lists it as uncharacterized. The record is from RefSeq and is a predicted model, not a curated record. NCBI's taxonomy places the organism in Eukaryota, Metazoa, Chordata, Mammalia, Rodentia, Spalacidae. The transcript has 3 exons.
GUCCGGUGGGGACAGGCGGCCCGCCAGCAUGGAGCUGCAGCGCCGGAAGCUACUCGCCCAGUGUCAAAAGAGCCUGGCCCAGGCGGUGACCGAGGUGGAGGCGGUGUUCGGGCUGCUGGAGGCCGCGGGAGUGUGACGUCCAGGCGAGCGGAGGCAGCUGGACAAGGAGGCGGGAGGCGCCAAGGCGGAGCUGCUGCUGCUGAAGCUGCUCCUGGCUAAGGAGCCGGACCACUUCCAGGACUUGGGUGGCACAGCGCUGGAGAAGACGCAGCCUCACCUGCUGCCCAUUCCCUACCUGAAAGGCGUCAGGCCGCUACUUGCCCGCCAAGGGCGAGGGACAGCUGAGGAGCCAGAAUCCCCAACACCCCUCCAUGCCAGGCAGCAGGUAAACGAGGAGGUGGCAAACCUGACCACUCAACUACAGCUGAUGAUCCGCGAGAGAGAUGAGCUGCGCAAUCACCUGGCCUCCAUCACCAAUGGGGGGCCCUGGGACGGCAGGAUCGAAAAUGUCAAGCAGGAGCUGGUCCAGGCCAAAGCCCAGAACAAGACCCUCCUCCUGGAGAUGGAGGGGCUGAAACUAGAGCGGAUAAUGAAGCAUUGAGCA